RNA transcript from Magnolia sinica, 1952 nucleotides. It is a transcript of the gene named E3 ubiquitin-protein ligase RING1-like, with no coding region annotated. NCBI's taxonomy places the organism in Eukaryota, Viridiplantae, Streptophyta, Magnoliopsida, Magnoliales, Magnoliaceae. The transcript has 3 exons. The record is from RefSeq and is a predicted model, not a curated record.
CAUUCCGAGAUCCAAAGGGCCACUUCCACCCACCCCAAUCUCUCUCUAGCUACGGUUGACGGUCGGAAGGGAUCCAUUCCAGAGAAAAGAGAAGAUGUCAUCCGACGGUAACGAACGGCCGGCAGUGGCCCCCACCGCUCCGAAACCCUACUUCUGCUAUCAGUGCGACCGUACCGUCUCCAUCUUCCUCCCUUCUCCUUCCUCCGACCUUAGCUGCCCCAUCUGCCAUGGCGGCUUUCUCGAAGAAUCCCAAUACCCUCCAGAGCCUAACCCUAAUCCCUUCUUCUCCUCCGACGAUUCUCUGUCCCCCUUCGGAUUGCCCCUAUUCUUAUCCGCCUCCUCCCGAGGCGGCUUCGGUCUCCCUCCCGAUCUCGCCUCCCUCCUCAAUCCCACCGUCAUCCACCGUCGAUCAUCGUCCGUGGGCCCCACCGACCCCGACGUCUUCAACCCCUUGCUCUUCCUCCAGAACCACCUCCAAACCCUCAUGGCCGAUGGUGCCAACAUCCAGUUCGUGAUUGACGGCGCCCCCUCCAACGCCUCCCUCUCCUCCAACCUCGGUGACUACUUCAUUGGGCCUGGCCUCGAGCAGCUCAUCCAGCAGCUCGCUGAUAACGAUCCCAACCGCUAUGGCACCCCACCUGCCUCGAAGUCUGCUAUCGAGACCCUCCCUGACAUCAAGAUCUCUGCCGAGCUGCUCGAGUCGGAUUCCGCGCAGUGCGCUGUCUGCAUGGACAUGUUCGAGCUUGGGUUGGUCGCAAAGCAGAUGCCGUGCAAGCAUAUCUUCCACCCUGAUUGCAUCCUCCCAUGGCUCGCGCUGCACAAUUCAUGCCCCGUCUGCCGCUAUGAGCUGCCGACGGAUGAUCUGGAUUAUGAGCAGCGGACGAGGGGAAUGCCACUCCCGGAGAAUCUGACGAGUGGGAAUGUGGCCACGGAUUCGGGCAGCACCGGUGAGGGAUCAGAACAGGGGGAUUCACAGAGGACGGUUGAGCGGAGGUUUAGGAUCUCGCUGCCCUGGCCAUUUAGGGCUUCUGGUUCGCCUGCAGAGACAAGCAGCACCAGUGUUGGCAGUGGCAAUAAUGCUAAUGUUAACGAAGGGGAGACGGGUUCAAACUCUCUGGAUCGAGGGAAUCAGGAUUUAGGCUCUGAAACCCGGCAAGAAGAUUUGGAUUGAGGACUGUAGGAGGAAUUCCAACCAGUGCAUGAGGGUGGGCUGCCAUGAAUGAAGUUCACCUUGUAAAAAAUUCAGGCCGGUCCACUCAUCAGCCAGGCUAUACUGGGCGUACAUUAAAUCAGAUUGUUGGCAGUUCUGGUUUAAACCAUCCAUUGUUUCUGUACAGCAUGGGCCCCACCUGGUGAUCUUCACCAUGGGCCAUCUUAUGAAUGGUUCAAUGUCCUACACAUGUGACACGCUGGUCGGUAAGCUGGGUUCCCUGUGAAGUUCAUAUUCAACUAGAUGAAGGUGGUGAUGCCUAUAGAGGGGCAUGGAUAUAAAAAUUCCUGGGGAUUGGUAAUUGGGUGAGAAGAAAUCAAAUAUGCAGCUCGUUGAAAGAGAUGAAGUGUGCCCAGACAAGGCUGUGGGUGCAUAUAGUGGCCUCUGAGGAUAUUCACUGCCAUGUUUGCUGAAGGAGCAUCCCCUGUAAUUUGUCAAUUAGUUUGCCCUGGAUCUGUUUGGACGGGUCUCAGAAGGUGGGCCAGAAUUCUGUGUCCCAUGGACAGGACCUCCCAGGCAACUAUAUACUACAUUGAAAUUUGGUAUAUUUGAACUUUGAGAUCACAAUCAUAGGUUUUAGCUGAUUUGUUCAUAAUCAAAACAUCCUUAUGUCUGUUUUUCCAUUGUCUGUGUUUUGUUUCUUCCUUUUUUUUUGGGGGGAAUUUUUGUAAUAUAUCACCAUCACCAUCAUCAUCAUCAUUCAUGCUCAUACUUAUUUCAUUUAAUACCGUCAGGUUUUCUA